Molecule: ribosomal RNA, 142 nt
Filed under: Fibrocapsa japonica
Lineage: Eukaryota; Raphidophyceae; Chattonellales; Chattonellaceae
Description: 5.8S ribosomal RNA
Rfam family: 5.8S ribosomal RNA (bases 22-142)
About the family: 5.8S ribosomal RNA (5.8S rRNA) is a component of the large subunit of the eukaryotic ribosome. It is transcribed by RNA polymerase I as part of the 45S precursor that also contains 18S and 28S rRNA. Functionally, it is thought that 5.8S rRNA may be involved in ribosome translocation.
Source: RNAcentral
UGGUCGGAUAAUUGAAAAUAUAACUUUCAGCAAUGGAUGUCUUAGGCUCCCACAACGAUGAAGAACGCAGCGAAAUGCGAUACGUCAUGCGAAUUGCAGAGUCCAGCGAGUCAUCAAAAUUUCGAACGCACCUGGCGCUUCC